RNAcentral lists this ribosomal RNA (465 nucleotides) under uncultured bacterium. RNAcentral describes it as "partial 16S ribosomal RNA". It matches the Rfam family "Bacterial small subunit ribosomal RNA", at positions 338 to 795 of the family's 1533-position model. The record is from RNAcentral.
CCUACGGGAGGCAGCAGUAGGGAAUCUUCCACAAUGGGCGAAAGCCUGAUGGAGCAACGCCGCGUGGGUGAAGAAGGUCUUCGGAUCGUAAAACUCUGUUGUUAGAGAAGAAAGAGCGUGAGAGUAACUGUUCACGUUUCGACGGUAUCUAACCAGAAAGCCACGGCUAACUACGUGCCAGCAGCCGCGGUAAUACGUAGGUGGCAAGCGUUAUCCGGAUUUAUUGGGCGUAAAGGGAACGCAGGCGGUCUUUUAAGUCUGAUGUGAAAGCCUUCGGCUUAACCGGAGUAGUGCAUUGGAAACUGGGAGACUUGAGUGCAGAAGAGGAGAGUGGAACUCCAUGUGUAGCGGUGAAAUGCGUAGAUAUAUGGAAGAACACCAGUGGCGAAAGCGGCUCUCUGGUCUGUAACUGACGCUGAGGUUCGAAAGCGUGGGUAGCAAACAGGAUUAGAUACCCGAGUAGUC